This 1046-nucleotide ribosomal RNA is filed under the name uncultured organism. RNAcentral's name for it is "bacterial SSU rRNA". It matches the Rfam family "Bacterial small subunit ribosomal RNA", at positions 417 to 1477 of the family's 1533-position model. The record is from RNAcentral.
CUUGGGCUGUCAACCACUUUUCUCAGGGAAGAAGACCUGACGGUACCUGAGGAAUCAGCCUCGGCUAACUCCGUGCCAGCAGCCGCGGUAAUACGGAGGAGGCAAGCGUUAUCCGGAAUUAUUGGGCGUAAAGCGUCCGCAGGGGGCGCAUCAAGUCUGCUGUUAAAGGUCGGAGCUAAACUCCGGUAGAGCAGUGGAAACUGGUGCGCUAGAGGGCGACAGGGGUAGAGGGAAUUCCCAGUGUAGCGGUGAAAUGCGUAGAGAUUGGGAAGAACACCGGUGGCGAAAGCGCUCUACUGGGUCGCACCUGACCCUCAGGGACGAAAGCUAAGGUAGCGAAAGGGAUUAGAUACCCCUGUAGUCUUAGCCGUAAACGAUGGAUACUAGGCGUGGUUUGUAUCGACCCAAGCCGUGCCGAAGCUAACGCGUUAAGUAUCCCGCCUGGGGAGUACGCACGCAAGUGUGAAACUCAAAGGAAUUGACGGGGGCCCGCACAAGCGGUGGAGGAUGUGGUUUAAUUCGAUGCAACGCGAAGAACCUUACCAGGGCUUGACAUCCCGCGAAGUUUGGGGAAACUCAGACGUGCCUACGGGAACGCGGAGACAGGUGGUGCAUGGCUGUCGUCAGCUCGUGUCGUGAGAUGUUGGGUUAAGUCCCGCAACGAGCGCAACCCUCGUCCUUAGUUGCCAGCAUUAAGUUGGGCACUCUAGGGAGACUGCCGGUGACAAACCGGAGGAAGGUGAGGAUGACGUCAAGUCAGCAUGCCCCUUAUGCUCUGGGCAACACACGUCCUACAAUGGUCGGGACAAAGGGGAGCGAGCUCGCGAGAGUAAGCGAAUCCCAGCAAACUCGGCCUCAGUUCAGAUAGCAGGCUGCAACUCGCCUGCUUGAAGGAGGAAUCGCUAGUAAUCGCAGGUCAGCAUACUGCGGUGAAUUCGUUCCCGGGCCUUGUACACACCGCCCGUCACACCAUGGAAGCUGGCCAAGCCCGAAGUCGUUACCCUAACCCUACGGGGAGGGGGCGCCGAAGGCUGGGCUAGUGACUG